AUGUGGUCAUGCCUAAAGCUUCCUUCAAGACUCAACACCCUUUUGAGAAAAGGCAGGAUGAAUCUAUUUCGCAUUAGAGACAAACAUCUUGAUAGAGUACCUGUGAUUGUGGAGAAAGUCGGAAGAAGUGACAUUAUAGACAUUGAUAACAAGAGGUACCUUGUUCCAGCUGACUGGUUUGUUGGUCCAUUUGCUUAUGUCACCUACAAAAAAAUUAAGCUCAAUACAGAGAAGGACGAGGGUGGUUUUCUUUACAUGACUUGCGGUAGAGAGAAUACCUUUGGAUGCCAGUAG
Molecule: non-coding RNA, 294 nt
Organism: Vicia faba (fava bean)
Lineage: Eukaryota; Viridiplantae; Streptophyta; Magnoliopsida; Fabales; Fabaceae
Source: the annotation of a GenBank genome assembly